This 253-nucleotide ribosomal RNA is filed under the name uncultured bacterium. RNAcentral describes it as "partial 16S ribosomal RNA". It matches the Rfam family "Bacterial small subunit ribosomal RNA", at positions 524 to 776 of the family's 1533-position model. The record is from RNAcentral.
UACAGAGGUCUCAAGCGUUGCUCGGAUUCAUUGGGCGUAAAGGGUGCGUAGGCGGCGCGGUAAGUCGGGUGUGAAAUCUCGGAGCUUAACUCCGAAACUGCAUUCGAUACUGCCGUGCUUGAGGACUGGAGAGGAGACUGGAAUUUACGGUGUAGCGGUGAAAUGCGUAGAUAUCGUAAGGAAGACCAGUGGCGAAGGCGGGUCUCUGGGCAGUAACUGACGCUGAGGAGCGAAAGCGUGGGGAGCGAACAGG